GACCCUAUAGAGUUUUAUAUUUAGUUAAUAAAUUAUUUUUUAGAAUUUAAUAUUAAUUUAUUUAUUAAAUAUUUGAUUGGGGUGAUUGAAAAAUUUGAAUAACUUUUUUUAUAUUUGAACAUUAAUUUAUGAUUAUUUGAUCCAUUAUUUAUGAUUAUAAGACUAAAUUACCUUAGGGAUAACAGCGUAAUUUUUUUUGAGAGUUCAAAUCGAAAGAAAAGAUUGCGACCUCGAUGUUGGAUUAAAAUUUAUUUUUGGUGUAGAAGCUAAAAUUAUUGGGUCUGUUCGACCUUUAAAAUUUUACAUGAUCUGA
RNAcentral lists this ribosomal RNA (313 nucleotides) under Pharaxonotha sp. D0253. RNAcentral describes it as "partial 16S large subunit ribosomal RNA". The stretch from base 178 to 313 matches the Rfam family "Bacterial large subunit ribosomal RNA", at positions 2473 to 2608 of the family's 2925-position model. Lineage: Eukaryota; Metazoa; Arthropoda; Insecta; Coleoptera; Erotylidae. The record is from RNAcentral.